UGUAUCUAUGAUGACCAUUUGGCUCCCUCAACUGAAUCAAAUGAAGAAAAUUGCCUGAAUUGUUACCUGGUGUCUGAGAUACA
Small nucleolar RNA from Hypanus sabinus (Atlantic stingray), 83 nucleotides. RefSeq annotates it as small nucleolar RNA SNORD100. The transcript has a single exon. The record is from RefSeq and is a predicted model, not a curated record. Lineage: Eukaryota; Metazoa; Chordata; Chondrichthyes; Myliobatiformes; Dasyatidae.